GACGAACGUUGGCGGCGUGCUUAAUACAUGCAAGUCCACUGAAGCAGUGGUAGCAAUAUCGCUGUGGAGGUGGCGCACGGGUGAGUAACACGUAGGUAAUCUGCCUUCAGGUCUGGCAUAACUCCGGGAAACCGGGGCUAAUAGCAGAUGAUGCAGCGGCUCGACAUCGAGACAGUUGUUAAAGCUAUGGCGCCUGAAGAUGAGCCUGCGUCUGAUUAGCUAGUUGGCGGGGUAACGGCCCACCAAGGCAACGAUCAGUAGCUGGUCUGAGAGGAUGAUCAGACACACUGGAACUGAGACACGGUCCAGACUCCUACGGGAGGCAGCAGUAAGGAAAAGUGCUCAAUGGGAGAAAUCCUGAAGCAGCAACGCCGCGUGAGGGACGAAGGGCUUUUGCUUGUAAACCUCUGUAGUAAGAGAAAAAAAUCCCAAUCUUUGGGACAUGCUGGUACCUCAAAAGUAAGCCCCGGCUAACUACGU
Molecule: ribosomal RNA, 480 nt
Filed under: uncultured bacterium
Lineage: Bacteria
Description: partial 16S ribosomal RNA
Rfam family: Bacterial small subunit ribosomal RNA
Source: RNAcentral